RNAcentral lists this ribosomal RNA (284 nucleotides) under uncultured bacterium. RNAcentral describes it as "partial 16S ribosomal RNA". It matches the Rfam family "Bacterial small subunit ribosomal RNA", at positions 28 to 308 of the family's 1533-position model. The record is from RNAcentral.
GAUGAACGCUAGCGGCAGGCUUAACACAUGCAAGUCGAGGGGCAGCGAGGUGUAGCAAUACACUGUCGGCGACCGGCGCACGGGUGCGUAACGCGUAUGCAACCUACCCACAACAGGGGCAUAACACUGAGAAAUUGGUACUAAUUCCCCAUAACAUUCGAAGAGGCAUCUCUUUGGGUUGAAAACUCCGGUGGUUGUGGAUGGGCAUGCGUUGUAUUAGCUAGUUGGUGAGGUAACGGCUCACCAAGGCGACGAUACAUAGGGGGACUGAGAGGUUAACCCCC